Molecule: long non-coding RNA, 745 nt
Organism: Conger conger (European conger)
Lineage: Eukaryota; Metazoa; Chordata; Actinopteri; Anguilliformes; Congridae
Exons: 4
Source: RefSeq, a predicted model, not a curated record
CAAUGAAACUUCACGUGCCAAAAUUUAGUUCAUUGAUGCACAAGGGCCGAUCCGUUUCAGGAUGUUGUGCCUUAAACGUCUGCUCAGUGCUUAAUUCCUCUGCUCGUAUGCUUAAUUAUUUAAUUAGCUAAAUCAUAUCUUGUCAUAUCUUGAUCUUACAUUUCUGACGAUAUUAUUGUCAGAACCAUCUACAACCGCAGUACCUCUACAGCCCCAGACUGCAAGUGAAUAAAGAAUUUACUGUACUGUAAUUUAAGUACAGGAGUGAACCAGCAUUGUCGUGCAGAAAACAGCACGCAGGUCCGCCUUCUAGGACCAGAGUGCGCCCCCGUUUGGACCAAGUGCCACACGGAUGUAGCCAUUUUGAGUCGUACUUGAUGGUCCUGAGGGCGGAGCCAUCUCCCAUGCUGCGGUAAAUGACGGCAUCGCUGGCCAGAAAGUCUGCCACUGUAGCAGAGUACAGCUUCCCGUCUACAAGAGAUGCGCGGUGAAGGCCCCUCGGAGACCUGGGUGUCAGAACUUGGCUGGGUUUGAGGUGGUAAUGGGCUGAAAUACUGAGGGACCAGAGGAUGAGUGCAAUAGGACUGUGAGAUUCUCUUCUCCUUGCUGGUCACAUCAAACCAAUUUACGGAUGCAAGGGCAGGUGCGCCCCAGUCACGUGCACAGCUGGGAGACAGAGCCACAGUAAUGUUAUGAAUGUUUAACUCCGUCAGAUAAAUGCUCACUGUUAACUUUUGAAAGCGAU